UACAUGUCAGUUUGUCGAAUAAAAAAAAAAGAUAUUCAGCUAAGAUUUUUUUUUUUCCCUCAGAGCCUUGUAAACUGCAAUUUGUGCUCUGGUAAGAAAAACCUGGCAGAGGAGUUAGGAUAGCCAUUACCAUUUGAAAAGAAGCAAUCAUAAGGCCGCUGCUGAGCCCUUUGUCCACUAAAAAUGCUGAUUUGCAGGCAGUGAGUGAAAAAGUGGAACCAUCACUAAAUAAAACCUUGAGCUAGGUAACAACCCUCCGGCCCCCACCCUUGCCGGCUUUUGAAUGUUGGUUAAAGGUGUUUUUAAAAAACGUAUCUUAAAUCCGAUACUUACUAUCAUUAUAACAUUGUUACAGGUCAUUAAUGUCCUUUCCUAAAAAAAAUAAUAUAAAGGAUGCAUUGAGGAAGUGGUAGGUGGAACACAGGCCAACAGUGAAUUGAAAGGCUGACGCUGGCUAUCACUUGUAUCUUACUUUGGUCCCUUUGUACGGCAUCAUGAUUUUCCACCAGUCAAUCCUUUACGCUCUAUUUUCCCCCUCCCGUAUCAGUGUGCUCCUAGGUUUUCCCAUUUUUAGUUAUACUCUGAUUUUAAAGUGGGAACUGCAUUUCCAACGUUCACAUAUUUAGCCUAUUUGGGUGCACUUGGCUAAAAAUGUAAUGCACUUUUAGUCAUGAUUUGCUAUUCGUAUGUGGUCAUCUCUAUACUUUUCUGUUAGGUAAUCCAUAUACAGAAGUAAAAAAGAAAAGAGCUAGAAAGUGAAAAGAGGAUAAUUGCCAGUAAAUACAGAGUGAUAGCAGUCACACAUCAUCUAUUUAAUUGUCAAAUAGGAUAAGAAAAAUUAGUUAUUUCAAGAAUUUUUGAGGCUUCCCCCCUCCCUGGAAAUCAUUACUAAUAGUAGUAGUAGUAGUAAUAAAAAUAACAUGUAGCUGCAAGCUUUUCAUUUGGAAAAUUAUCUAAAAAAUAAGUUACUGUAUCAACACAACCAUCUGUGCAAACAUACUCAAAUUCCGUAUGUGGAUUUAAUUCAGAGAUACAUAUUAACUUUCAACGGCAGAUACUUUUAUAUUCCAUUUUUUGUACACUUGGCUAUGGUGACAGGCAUUUGCAGAAAGGCAGCAGGUUAGAAAUGUCUUUAUCCUAAAACACCAACUUUAUUGAUGAUUGCUAAGAGCAUACAUGGCCUUCAAAACUAGAUUUUCCAACAGCACGUUGCUGUUCCUCGAGUCCUUCACCUGGAGACUGGGUUUUAGGUUUUCAGGCCACCCUCCAUUAAAGACAUUCACACUUCCAGAUAAGAGGGUUUUAUUUCUCCUAAUUUACAUCUAAUACUUGAACAACAAAAAUUUUUUUCAAGGGAUGCCUUACGAAAGGACUUGCUUCUUACUUGUGGAGGUUUCUGGAAAUCACAAUGGUCAAUAGGGGGCUGAUUGAGAGAAGUCAGUAAUUCAGAUGCUGCCGCCUCCUCCCACUGCUUUGCAGGAAGGCCCUGAACUUCUUUUUAUUUUAUUUAUUUAUUCUUUCAAAGAGUUUAUUUAUUUAGUUGACAGAGAGAGAGAGCCCAAGCAGGGAGAGCAGCAGGCAGAGGGAGAAGCAGGCUCCCCACUGAGCAGACAUCACUACCGUGGGGCUCCAUCCCAGGACCCUAGAAUCACGACCUGAGCCAAAGGCAGACGCUUAACCUAACCGACUGAGCCACUCAGGUGCCCCUGGCCCUGAACUUCUUCAUAAAGUUUUUUAACUCUAGGUUUCCCUGUGUGCACGCCCCCCUUGCAAAGAAGAACACACCGGCAAGGGGAAAAAAAAAAAAAAAGAAUGAAUAGGUUAGUAAGUGCUAAGAGGAUAAUGAGACAGAGAAGGUCUGGGCUUCCUUAGUGUGUGUCUGCAGAAUGCAGGCGAUGGUAAAUCUGUAUCAAAAAUCAGGCACAGCAGGAGGUGUCGGUCUCCCAGGUAAUGGGUAAAUGAUGAGCACAUGAGCCAUCUUUGUAUCGAUUUAAGCAUUUUGUUCCAGCCAGUCACAAUUAACUUUGAUUUGUUUUUACUUUCCUCUUAUAGGUUUGCAUUUAAAACACUCUUAGAGCACUAAUUGUAUAAAAUUCUGGUAACUGCACAUUCUCUUUUUCGAGAGGUAAUGAGCGAAUGAAUGAAAAGGCAGGGAUUAUUUGCCAUUCUAAGAGCGGGGAUUGUCAGAACAUUUCUACUUGACUGAAAUUGUUUUGGAAGGUGAGCUGGAACAAGAAUCUUGCAGCUAAAAUGAAAAGAGGUAAAGGGUGAGGUUUCUUUCUCAGAACACACACCUCUGUCCUCUGUGCUCCUCAGAUUCUGCAGUGUCUUAAAUCACAAGGUGGGUCUCACAGCUGUAAUAUAUUUGGCAGGAUAUCCUGCCUUCUUGCAGCCCAGAUGUCAAGAAAGACAAAGUCCUGGCUAUCUCAGAAAGAUCUGGCUCUGUUUCUUUCCCUCCCCAGCCCCCAUCCAGGGCAUGCUUGGACUUGAGGGCUGAACGUAUAUAAUAAACACGCUGGAGAAGUUUGGGGCGGUAGCUCCGGUUGUGUUUUCGGUAACUGGUCCGGUUUGGGUGUUCCCUGAUCCUUUUCAUCAGCAUGGCAGAUGGGGCAGCAAGGAAGGGAAAAUAAUGGCAAGUUUGAUGAAGAUGCCUUACAUUUGUCGAGUAAAGUGCCUUUGUGAUUUUUGUCAGUGUUUAUUACUCAGAGAUUGAGAAUCAAAAGGUGCUUUUUCUGAAAAAAAAUGCAUAGCUUGCUACGUAACCACUAGGGUCAUCUCAGGGUCUGGUUUUGGGUUUUUUCCGCUAUGUGGGAUUGAAGUACGCAGCUCUGCUUUUACAGAGCAAUCACCUGAUGCCAGCAGCACCGGGGCAGGACCAGCUCCCCCUCAGUUCGGCCACAGGUGGGAAGGAGCCACAGUUUUCCAGACAGCCCGUGACACUGGAAGCAGCCACCGGUGCAGGAGAAUUUUGGCUUCAGAGGACAGGAUUGGCUUCGUCUUCUCCAGGGCUACAAACUCCAUGCCUAGCAACGUUCUUUGAAUGUAGAAUACCUUCCUGGCACAUAAGCGAGUACAUAAGCAAGCGGACUCAACAGCUUUCUUGGAAGGAGUCAGCCGCUGCAGGUGUGUGGAGAUUCAGUACUGUUGCUGCAGAAAUGCUGGUCCGAGAGGGGAUUGGUGAACACGUGAGCGACUGGGUGAGGAUCCAGCCCCAUUCCCAGAAAAGCAAAGCCUGAGCACCACUGUCAUUUUUGCAUCUGGACAGAAUGUGCCACUUAAAAUUUGAGCUCGUUACUCAACCUCCCUGCGUCUCUGUGUCCUCAUCUGGAGAACGGAGAUAAGAUUUGCUCCCUCUCUACCUCACCAGGAUCUGAGAAGAUUAGAUAAUGGCUGUAAAGUCCUUCUACAAAGGCCAACAAUACCAAAGACCAACAGUGAAGGACAGUACUAAUCUCUGUAGCAGGGAAGUGUGACUAACACCACAAAUUUGUAAUUUAGCAGGCUCACCUGAGAAAAACUGAGUAUAAAUGACCACAACUCUUAUAACGAUUAAUUUUACCUGGGCAUUUCAAGGCCAAGUCAGCAAGAGAGAUUUAGAUCAGAGACACAGAUUUUGUUACUCAUAACUCAGCAAGCAGCAUAAACAUCAGCAUAUUUGGAGUCCUAAACCUCCCUUCUUACUGAGUGACACUAAGGGAGCCAGGUACCCCCACAGGUUCAGUUAAGUUGUAUUACAGGAGUGAAAUCCUGCACUUGGAAAAUCUGAAAGUUUCAUACUGGGAAACCAGCUUGCUGACCCAUUACUUGGGAUGGGGAUAGUAACUCUAUCUUCAGUGAGUGUUCACUACACAAAUAUAAUCUGGGACAAAAGUCAGCGCUUCUGCUUGCAAGAUAUACAGAAAAUGAGAGACCUACAGAAAACUGUCUCUCAACAACAUUAGCAGCUGGUUUCAUAGAAAAAAGCCAAAGAGUAAAACACAGACCGAACACCUUCCUGCUUUUUGAGACUACAUCUCUCCUGGAAGAAACACGGCCGCAACUAAUCAAUUCUCGAAUUGCCAUGACCUUCAGAUUGCUAACCAUAUUUUCUGGGGGCAGUGUGGCCUUUUCUUUUGUGCUCCUGGGGGACGGACCCUCUGGGCAUGUACGCCAGUGCUCUUCAGGGAUGGUUACUUGAGGUGAAUACCUUGUAGAGACUGGUCUCUCAUUCAUUAUUUCUUUGAUAUGCUCUGUUUCAUGUUCUGUACAACCAAUGGCAUUUGCUCCUAGAUGGGUAGACCUAGCUGUUACCUAGUGUCAUGGGAUAGAGUCUGAGAUGGAGAAGAGAUUGUUGGAAGGGAAGCGUGACACAAUGGCCAAAUCAUAAACCAUAACUCCAUUAAGUCCUAUUUUCAUAUUGAAUAGGCAAUGAAAUUGUAUUACCUGUCUCUUACAAUGGGAAGAAAAAUCAAUAUGUGCCAUUUCUUCGUGUGAUGAAUGUCUUUCUCUAUCCUCCCUGCUGUUGCUACCCGCCACAUUUUACAUUAGCACGAUACCAAGAACCAGUGGUUUCACUGGAGUGCUAUCAGUUACACUGGAAGGAACAACAGAGAAUGAUAAAGAAGGUAAAAGGAAGCUGAGUGAAGGAGUUUGGUUGAGUCCUGUUUCUUGGAUAAGCAAAGAUUUGGCAUCCUUUUGCCUGGCUGUGAGCAGAAAGUCCUUGAUUUUAUCCAUUUUUUGAGGCAUGGCUCUGAGAGGCACAGGAGAACGUGCGGUUGGCACUGCGAGCUGUAAGAAGCAAGGAGUAAACUAAGUAUUUGAGUAUUUCCUGAGCAAUGAAAAGUCAUGGUGUACGUAACGAUGUGAAAUUCGAAGCAAACGAUGACUGUGGCUAUCCCUCUGGCCUUGUCCAUGCGAGAUGCAAGUGUGCACGUCUUCAAGGAUAAUCCUUACAGAGUAGUAACUAGAGCCUACCUCGCAGUGAUCAAGAUCCUAAGCAGACCUCCCACGGACACACCGACACCAUGAGCACACGUAGCACACAGAUGUCUCCGAGAACGACCUGAAGCCUGGCAGAACAGGUCUUCCACAACUAAAGGUAAAAAGAAAAAGCCACAUCGAGACAGGUGGGAGGGGCCGAGAUGUGGUCUAGUCAGUGAGCAUACCCCCUGCGUGGUGACCCACAGCGGGAGGGAUAUCACGAGUGUGGAAGUCCUCCCUGAGAAGGGAGGGGUUCAAAUGCCUCAUCGGGUACCCUAGCCAUGGGGCUCCCGCUAGGAAGAUGAGUCCUUGUAAUACCCAGCCUUGAAAACCAGUAGGGCAGAGUCCAGGAGAGCUGGAGGACUGUGGGAAACCAAGACUUCACUCUUAAAGGGUUCAUACACAAACUCCCUCACUCUGAGACCCACUCCAGAGGUGGUGAUUUGAAAAGCACUUGGGUCAUAUGUGAAAAAGAUUCAUUGACUGAUUUUAGGGCAUGUGCCGGAGGGGCAGAGAUCUGUAGGAACUUUCCUUGGGAACAGUAUACUGUCAGGCACCACCAUUUUUACUCUCCUUCUACCUUGCUGGCCUGGUGCUGGCAGGUGCCAUUUUUGACUCUCUCCAUCUACCUUGCCAUCACUGCUCACCCUACCCCCGUGUUCCACUGUGGACCCACUGGGGCAGGCGGUCUAACCGCCCCCCCCCAACCAAAGUGGCUUCCACCCCUACCAUUUAUAAGUGGAAUCUAAAAAGUAAAGAAACAAAAUGAAGAAAACAAAACAGAAACAGACUCAUAGAUACAAAGAACAAACUGGUGGCUGUCAGAGGGGAGAAGAUGGCAGCCAGAGAGGUAAUGGGUGAAUGAGAUUGAGAUGUGCAAACCUCCAGUACUGAAAUAAAUAAGUCAUGGCAAUGUAAAGUACAGCUUAGGGAACAUAGUCAAUAAUAUUGUAAUAAUUUUGUAUGGUGACAGAUGGUAAGUGGACUUAUCAUGGGCGACCAUGUCAUGAUGUAUAUAAACAUUGAAUCACUAUGUUGUACACCUGAAACUAAUAUAGUAUGUCAACUAUACUUUUAAAAAAAGAAGAAAAAAGAGCAGCUUGAAGCUUGAAAUGGGGAGUCUAUUUAAAUGAUGUAGCUAAAACAAAAGAAAAAUCUCUAGCACGUAUCUAAUGGCUUAUUCUGCUCAAUUUUUAUCUAGAAAUAUUGCAUGAUUAUUGAUUAAAGAGAAUCCUUAAUUCAAUAGGAUGUCCAAGAGAUAGGUUUGCUCUGGUUAAUGAGAUGUUCUGAAGAACUGAAAAUGACCAAGAAACCCAUGUUGUUGUUUAUUUCCUCAUUUUCUGUUAAAAAUACAUGUGAAAAUAUGCAUGCAUCCAUUUCCCUCAAAAGUGAGGGUCUAGUGAAAUGAAUGAAAUAUUUGAUCAGUGAAUUCCUUCGUAGCCCAAAAAGAAAGAAAGAGACGAGAGAGAGAGAGAAAAGAAAAAAGAAAAGAAAAAAAAAAGAAGGAAGAAAGGAAGAAAAUAAUGGGCAAGCAUUAGGACAGCAAGUCUGAAGUGUUCCACGUAAUGAGCUCUGACUCACAGAUGAUUUGGGGCUUUGGUGUGCCAGGCUAGCACAUCAUGUGUGAAUAAGCUUGUGGCAGGGGCUGAGGGUGAGGCCUGAGGACAUGGUUUAUGUUGGAGCCUCACCGUGUUCUGGGUGACUCAUGUGCACUAAACAGCAGAGUCAUGAACCAUUUACACACACCCAAUAUCAGGUUCACUCUGAGGCUGUUCUCCUGCAGCCAUUUUACGGCUCUCUCUCAAAAGCACAGAACCUGGUUUGGCCUUUUUCAGGAGAAUCAUGAAGAGGAAUUGAAGAACAGAGGGCCUUAAGGUCCAGAUGGUCCUUUCCUGGGGAGAGUGUUUGUCCUCUGAGUUCUGAAAGACGCUUACACGCAGCAGGAACGGAGUGGUGGCGAGUUGGCGGGGCCCAGCGAGCUGAAGGUCGGCUGCACCUGCUAACUCUCGGCCCUGGCUGAGAACCAGGAAGAAAGCAAAGGUAGACUUCCCCUGAGAAAUCUGGAUGGACAAUUUAAAGGAGGAUCUAGCACCAUUUGAAUGAAUAAAUGAAUGCAGCACUUUAGCAGAACUACAGUAUAUUGGACAGCAAGAGAAGAUGCUCUCAAGACAGAAAAGAGACUUAUUCGACCCAGCAGAGCGCAUUUCUCCCACGGGGUGAGGAGGGGGGGUGAUGUGCAUUAAUUAUCUUGUUUUGGUCUAGGAUGACUGAUAGCAAUUCCAUGGACUGUUUUGUGAUAUUAGACAAAGGUUCUUGGGGCAAAAUGUGAUUAGAAUAUGUUCAACUCGAUGACAUGUAUGUUAAGCCUAUUGGCACAUAGCAACCAAUUUCAUUGCAUGGCCUACUGGCUAGAAACAUCAAAAAUAGGAGUCAAAUCAUUUGGAGAAGAGUUGUUUAGUGAGUUAGAAUGAAUGGAGUCUUUAGUGAGCACCGGCAUCAAAUUCUGUCCUAGUUUGUUGCUUGCCAUGCCCUGUUCUCCAUCUGGGAUGCCCAAGGCACUCUUUUUCAGGACACUUGACCUAAAAGUCAUAUUUCAGAAACUACUGAUUUGGAGCUUGCUGUUGGAGUUUAGACUCUGAGGAGUCCAGCUGCUGGAUUACAUACAGACUAAUGACCCAUCAGAUGCUAAAGGCAAAAGCUUAAAGUGCACUUGUGAAUUAAACCACAGUAUUGUCGGAAAGGAAGAAUUUAUUAUGUCAUUAAAUUUAGUGCAAUAAGUUUUGCUUCUUUAGAUGCACUGCACUGAAGGAAAAGUAAGAAAUUAAUUUUAAACAAAUGUUAUUUUUCUUCCACGUACCCAGGUAAAGGAUAUUCAUGUGAAAGGGAAUAUUUUAUUGGGAUUAAAAGAAACCAGUAACAGGAAUGAUAAAUUGUGAAAACUGGGCAUGACUGCCUAGCCAGACAUGAACUUUUAAGAUCAGAGACUGCUUCAGUUAGGAAGAGGAAAACCAGCCUUGCCUAAUUUAAUGACACCCUGAGUGAAGUUUUCAGGGCUUUGCAUAAAAUCUCAGAGGCUCAGUGAUAUGAAGAUGUUAGCAAUAAUCAUAGUUGAUGUUUAGAGUUUAAUCUGAAAGUCAGAAUGGGCACAAAAUGAAAAUCAAG
Long non-coding RNA from Ailuropoda melanoleuca (giant panda), 8121 nucleotides. RefSeq lists it as uncharacterized. The transcript has 14 exons. Lineage: Eukaryota; Metazoa; Chordata; Mammalia; Carnivora; Ursidae. The record is from RefSeq and is a predicted model, not a curated record.